GUGGGGAAUAUUGGACAAUGGGCGCAAGCCUGAUCCAGCCAUGCCGCGUGAGUGAUGAAGGCCUUAGGGUUGUAAAGCUCUUUCAGUAGGGAAGAUAAUGACGGUACCUACAGAAGAAGCCCCGGCUAACUUCGUGCCAGCAGCCGCGGUAAUACGAAGGGGGCUAGCGUUGUUCGGAUUUACUGGGCGUAAAGCGCACGUAGGCGGAUUGGUCAGUUAGAGGUGAAAUCCCGAAGCUCAACUUCGGAACUGCCUUUAAUACUGCCAGUCUCGAGUCCGGAAGAGGUGAGUGGAACUCCUAGUGUAGAGGUGGAAUUCGUAGAUAUUAGGAAGAACACCAGUGGCGAAGGCGGCUCACUGGUCCGGUACUGACGCUGAGGUGCGAAAGCGUGGGGAGGAAACAGGAUUAGAAACCCUAGUAGUCC
RNAcentral lists this ribosomal RNA (425 nucleotides) under uncultured bacterium. RNAcentral describes it as "partial 16S ribosomal RNA". It matches the Rfam family "Bacterial small subunit ribosomal RNA", at positions 354 to 796 of the family's 1533-position model. The record is from RNAcentral.